Molecule: long non-coding RNA, 1167 nt
Organism: Canis lupus familiaris (dog)
Lineage: Eukaryota; Metazoa; Chordata; Mammalia; Carnivora; Canidae
Exons: 4
Source: RefSeq, a predicted model, not a curated record
GACUAACAGCAGGAAAAGCUUAGCUCAUAGCAAAUUCAGAUCCUAAAAUAUACACCUGUUUUACCAUUACUAUAAUCAAAAGCUGUUGAUUGUCUGAUGUUCAGAACUGCAUCUGAGAGGAAAAGUUCAAGUUGAUGAGUCAAAUGAAAGCUGAUAAUUUAAAAGAUUAAAUGUUGGGAUUUCCCAACCAAGACCAGAAAAGCUAGGUUGAGACAUGGAGCACAAUACUUUUUUUUUGUGUUAAAUAUUAUCAGUUUCUUGUAGCUGUGGGUGGCAGAGAACCUGUGAUACUCAUGGGUAAAGCUACUUCUAUCCCACACUGAUGUGUUUACUUCCAGCUCCUAAUGAUGGGGCUGAAGCCUUAGGAUUCAAUAGUGCCAUUAGAUUAACAAUGUCACACAGGGAAUACAUUAACGUCAACUUUCCAUUUCUCUACAGGAAUGAGGAAUUCCUCAUUCUGAAUUCCUGCAAAACACCGUCCCUCUUUUCAGGGUGCACAGUUCUGAAAUAUCCAGUUCGAAGUGGAAAAAGGUGACUGUUGUUAUGGUAAAGGAACAUGAUAGAACAGAGUGGAUAUUGGAGAAGAUAUUUCAACCAGUUUACUGAUGAAAUAGAAAGUUUCUCUCUUUGGAGUGGAUUUGGGGCAGAAUAUCUGGUUGCAAUUUUGGUUACAGAAUACCAAGCAAACCAAGCAAACUGCAACUAUGGAGUCUGAAAAGCCAUCACAAAGUCCACAAAAUGUACCAAAUUCCCCUAAUCUGUCUUCUCUUUAUUACACUGGGACCCUUUAGGAGCUCAGAAGGGAACUGGUAUUUGGUGGAAUCUGAAGGUGUGGUGACUUAGAGCCAGGAGGCAGUGUGUGUCUGCAAUCAGUGGGCCCUGAGGAAUUAUCGCAAAAGUCAGGAUGAGAGAGGAACAGGCCUUCCUGGAGCUUACCAGCUGUGAGAACAGUACACACCUAGGAGCCGAGAAGUGAGAAAUGGAAGAUUGUGCUCUGAAAGCAGAGCCCCUCCUGCUCCUGAGUAAAUGGACAAAACUGCAAUUCUGGAUUUCUAAGGCUGAAAGACAUACCUGCACCAGUUAUUCCUCCACCUUGAGAUUAUGAGUCUUCUUGGAAUGUUUUUUUAAAGGCCUAUGUGGAUCUCAGUAACAACACAAUAAACAUUU